This 478-nucleotide ribosomal RNA is filed under the name uncultured bacterium. RNAcentral's name for it is "bacterial SSU rRNA". It matches the Rfam family "Bacterial small subunit ribosomal RNA", at positions 28 to 523 of the family's 1533-position model. The record is from RNAcentral.
GACGAACGCUGGCGGCGUGCCUAAUACAUGCAAGUCGAACGCUCUCGACCUUCGGGUCAUAUGAGAGAGUGGCGAACGGGUGCGUAACACGUGAGAAACCUGCCCCGAAGACGGGAAUAACUCGAGGAAACUCGAGCUAAUACCCGAUGCCCUCCUUGGACCGCAUGGUCCGCUGAGGAAAUGCUCCGGUGCUUCGGGAGGGUCUCGCGGCCUAUCAGCUUGUUGGUGAGGUAACGGCUCACCAAGGCAUCGACGGGUAGCUGGUCUGAGAGGACGAUCAGCCACACUGGGACUGAGACACGGCCCAGACUCCUACGGGAGGCAGCAGUAGGGAAUCUUGCGCAAUGGGCGAAAGCCUGACGCAGCAACGCCGCGUGGGGGAUGACAGCCUUCGGGUUGUAAACCCCUUUCAGCAGGGACGAAAAUGACGGUACCUGCAGAAGAAGGUCCGGCCAACUACGUGCCAGCGCCGCGGUAA